GUGUCAGCCGCCGCGGUAAUACGGAGGGAGCUAGCGUUGUUCGGAAUUACUGGGCGUAAAGCGUACGUAGGCGGUUAUUCAAGUCAGAGGUGAAAGCCCGGGGCUCAACCCCGGAACUGCCUUUGAAACUAGAUAGCUAGAAUCUUGGAGAGGUCAGUGGAAUUCCGAGUGUAGAGGUGAAAUUCGUAGAUAUUCGGAAGAACACCAGUGGCGAAGGCGACUGACUGGACAAGUAUUGACGCUGAGGUACGAAAGCGUGGGGAGCAAACAGGAUUAGAUACCCUAGUAGUCC
This 292-nucleotide ribosomal RNA is filed under the name uncultured bacterium. Its description in RNAcentral is "partial 16S ribosomal RNA". It matches the Rfam family "Bacterial small subunit ribosomal RNA", at positions 505 to 796 of the family's 1533-position model. The record is from RNAcentral.